RNAcentral lists this ribosomal RNA (253 nucleotides) under uncultured bacterium. RNAcentral's name for it is "partial 16S ribosomal RNA". It matches the Rfam family "Bacterial small subunit ribosomal RNA", at positions 524 to 776 of the family's 1533-position model. The record is from RNAcentral.
UACAGAGGGGGCAAGCGUUGUCCGGAAUUACUGGGCGUAAAGAGCUCGUAGGUGGUUUGUCGCGUUGUUCGUGAAAACUCACAGCUCAACUGUGGGCGUGCGGGCGAUACGGGCAGACUUGAGUACUGCAGGGGAGACUGGAAUUCCUGGUGUAGCGGUGGAAUGCGCAGAUAUCAGGAGGAACACCGGUGGCGAAGGCGGGUCUCUGGGCAGUAACUGACGCUGAGGAGCGAAAGCGUGGGGAGCGAACAGG